This 460-nucleotide ribosomal RNA is filed under the name uncultured bacterium. Its description in RNAcentral is "partial 16S ribosomal RNA". It matches the Rfam family "Bacterial small subunit ribosomal RNA", at positions 338 to 795 of the family's 1533-position model. The record is from RNAcentral.
CCUACGGGUGGCAGCAGUGAGGAAUAUUGGUCAAUGGGCGCAAGUCUGAACCAGCCAUGCAGCGUGAAGGAUGACGGCCCUACGGGUUGUAAACUUCUUUUAUAAAGGAGUAAAGUCAGGUCCGCGUGCCUUUUUGUAUGUAUUUUAUGAAUAAGGAUCGGCUAACUCCGUGCCAGCAGCCGCGGUAAUACGGAGGAUUCAAUCGUUAUCCGGAUUUAUUGGGUUUAAAGGGAGCGUAGAUGGUUUGUUAAGUUAGUGGUGAAAGUUUGCGGCUCAACCGUAAAAUUGCAAUUGAUACUGGCAGCCUUGAGAACAGUUGAGGUAGGCGGAAUUCGUGGUGUAGCGGUGAAAUGCUUAGAUAUCACGAAGAACUCCGAUUGCGAAGGCAGCCUACUAAACUGCCACUGACAUUGAUGCUCGAAAGUGUGGGUAUCAAACAGGAUUAGAUACCCUUGUAGUC